UCAAUCCUUGUCUAGGAGAGCAUAAUGUCCAAUGAUCGUCUAGUGAGGGCAUUGGUGCUAACACCCUAGUUAAAUUUUCGCAUCCUGCUGUAUAGUAGAAUGCAAUUUUUGUAACC
RNAcentral lists this non-coding RNA (116 nucleotides) under Zootermopsis nevadensis. RNAcentral describes it as "U4atac minor spliceosomal RNA". It matches the Rfam family "U4atac minor spliceosomal RNA". Rfam says of the family: U4atac is an essential component of the minor U12-type spliceosome complex which is required for removal of the rarer class of eukaryotic introns (AT-AC, U12-type). These interacting stem loops have been shown to be required for in vivo splicing. Lineage: Eukaryota; Metazoa; Arthropoda; Insecta; Blattodea; Termopsidae. The record is from Rfam by way of RNAcentral.